CGUCAUCGACCUGCUGGGGACAGAUGAAAUGGAUAUGGCUGUCGAUGCCGCCGGCGGUGAGGAUCUUGCCUUCGCCGGCGAUGAUCUCGGUGCCCGGGCCGAUGACGAUGGUGACGUCCGGCUGCACGUCGGGAUUGCCGGCCUUGCCGAUCGCGCUGAUGCGGCCAUUGGUGAUGGCGACGUCGGCCUUGACGAUGCCCCAGUGGUCGAUGAUCAGCGCGUUGGUGAUGACGGUGUCGGCCGCGCCCUCGUCAUGGCUGUGCUGGGACUGGCCCAUGCCGUCGCG
RNAcentral lists this small RNA (286 nucleotides) under Rhodovastum atsumiense. RNAcentral's name for it is "5' ureB small RNA". It matches the Rfam family "5' ureB small RNA". The record is from Rfam by way of RNAcentral. Lineage: Bacteria; Pseudomonadati; Pseudomonadota; Alphaproteobacteria; Acetobacterales; Acetobacteraceae.